GCCCCCGUAGCCCAAUUCGGCAGAGGCAGCGGAUUCAAAACCCGUCCAGUGUGGGUUCAAGUCCCACCGGGGGCACCA
RNAcentral lists this transfer RNA (78 nucleotides) under Nocardioidaceae bacterium. RNAcentral's name for it is "tRNA-Leu". It matches the Rfam family "tRNA". Rfam says of the family: Transfer RNA (tRNA) molecules are approximately 80 nucleotides in length. Their secondary structure includes four short double-helical elements and three loops (D, anti-codon, and T loops). The record is from RNAcentral. Lineage: Bacteria; Bacillati; Actinomycetota; Actinomycetes; Propionibacteriales; Nocardioidaceae. RNAcentral also lists the same sequence under 2 other names.